UGGCGGCGUGCUUAACACAUGCAAGUCGAACGGAGUUCUGAUGUGUGAAGCGAAGUAGCUUGCUAUGGAGUGGAACUUUUCAGAACUUAGUGGCGGACGGGUGAGUAACGCGUGGGUAACCUGCCGUAUGCAGGGGGACAACAGCUGGAAACGGCUGCUAAUACCUCAUAUUGAGUUUAAUCGCAUGAUUUAAACUUGGAAAGAUUUAUCGCUUAUGGAUGGACUCGCGUCUGAUUAGCUAGUUGGUGAGGUAACGGGCCCACCAAGGCGACGAUCAGUAGCCGGACUGAGAGGUUGACCGGCCACAUUGGGACUGAGAUACGGCCCAGACUCCUACGGGAGGCAGCAGUGGGGAAUAUUGGGCAAUGGGGCGCAAGCCUGACCCAGCAACGCCGCGUGAAGGAAGAAGGCUUUCGGGUUGUAAACUUCUUUUGUCGAGGAAGAGUAGAAGACUGUACUCGGCGAAUAAGCCACGGCUAACUACGUG
This 487-nucleotide ribosomal RNA is filed under the name uncultured bacterium. Its description in RNAcentral is "bacterial SSU rRNA". It matches the Rfam family "Bacterial small subunit ribosomal RNA", at positions 37 to 507 of the family's 1533-position model. The record is from RNAcentral.